GUAGGUGGCAAGCGUUGUCCGGAAUUAUUGGGCGUAAAGCGCGCGCAGGCGGUCCUUUAAGUCUGAUGUGAAAGCCCACGGCUCAACCGUGGAGGGUCAUUGGAAACUGGGGGACUUGAGUACAGAAGAGGAAAGCGGAAUUCCAAGUGUAGCGGUGAAAUGCGUAGAGAUUUGGAGGAACACCAGUGGCGAAGGCGGCUUUCUGGUCUGUAACUGACGCUGAGGCGCGAAAGCGUGGGGAGCAAACAGGGGAUUAGAUACCCUGGUAGUCCACGCCGUAAACGAUGAGUGCUAAGUGUUAGGGGGUUUCCCGCCCCUUAGUGCUGCAGCUAACGCAUUAAGCACUCCGCCUGGGGAUACGGCCGCAAGGCUG
This 373-nucleotide ribosomal RNA is filed under the name uncultured organism. Its description in RNAcentral is "partial 16S ribosomal RNA". It matches the Rfam family "Bacterial small subunit ribosomal RNA", at positions 527 to 896 of the family's 1533-position model. The record is from RNAcentral.